RNAcentral lists this microRNA precursor (61 nucleotides) under Tetraodon nigroviridis (spotted green pufferfish). RNAcentral describes it as "Tni-Mir-17-P1a1_pre stem-loop". It matches the Rfam family "mir-17 microRNA precursor family", at positions 11 to 70 of the family's 80-position model. From Rfam's summary of the family: This family represents the microRNA (miRNA) precursor mir-17, family, which includes mir-20, mir-91, and mir-103. miRNAs are transcribed as ~70nt precursors (modelled here) and subsequently processed by the Dicer enzyme to give a ~22nt product. In this case the mature sequence comes from the 3' arm of the precursor. The record is from RNAcentral. Lineage: Eukaryota; Metazoa; Chordata; Actinopteri; Tetraodontiformes; Tetraodontidae.
CAAAGUGCUUACAGUGCAGGUAGUACUAUGUAACACCUACUGCAAUGGAGGCACUUACAGC